GGCUUCGUAGCCCAGCUGGUAGAGCGCUUGCCGCGUCGAGGCAUGGUGUUUCUGCCGCUGGUUCGUAUCCAGUCGAAGCCC
RNAcentral lists this transfer RNA (81 nucleotides) under Paragonimus heterotremus. RNAcentral's name for it is "tRNA-Asp". It matches the Rfam family "tRNA". Rfam says of the family: Transfer RNA (tRNA) molecules are approximately 80 nucleotides in length. Their secondary structure includes four short double-helical elements and three loops (D, anti-codon, and T loops). Further hydrogen bonds mediate the characteristic L-shaped molecular structure. tRNAs have two regions of fundamental functional importance: the anti-codon, which is responsible for specific mRNA codon recognition, and the 3' end, to which the tRNAs corresponding amino acid is attached (by aminoacyl-tRNA synthetases). tRNAs cope with the degeneracy of the genetic code in two manners: having more than one tRNA (with a specific anti-codon) for a particular amino acid; and 'wobble' base-pairing, i.e. permitting non-standard base-pairing at the 3rd anti-codon position. Lineage: Eukaryota; Metazoa; Platyhelminthes; Trematoda; Plagiorchiida; Troglotrematidae. The record is from RNAcentral.